Molecule: ribosomal RNA, 371 nt
Filed under: uncultured bacterium
Lineage: Bacteria
Description: bacterial SSU rRNA
Rfam family: Bacterial small subunit ribosomal RNA
Source: RNAcentral
ACGUAGGCAGCGAGCGUUGUUCGGAAUUACUGGGCGUAAAGAGUGUGUAGGCGGUGCUCUAAGUUUGGUGUGAAAUCUCCCGGCUCAACCGGGAGGCUGCAUCGAAUACUGGAAUGCUAGAGGGUGGGAGAGGUAAGCGGAAUUCCUGGUGUAGCGGUGAAAUGCGUAGAUAUCAGGAGGAACACCUGUGGUGUAGACAGCUUACUGGACCACUUCUGACGCUGAGACACGAAAGCGUGGGUAGCAAACAGGAUUAGAUACCCUGGUAGUCCACGCCCUAAACGAUGCAUACUUGGUGUGGGCCAUUCAUUUGGUCUGUGCCGGAGCUAACGCGUUAAGUAUGCCGCCUGGGGAGUACGGUCGCAAGGCUG